GAUGAACGCUGGCGGCGUGCCUAAUACAUGCAAGUCGAGCGAACAUAUGUGGAGCUUGCUCCUCUGACGUUAGCGGCGGACGGGUUAGUAACACUUGGAUAACCUUCCUAUAAGACUGGGAUAACUUCGUGAAACCGGAGCUAAUACCGGAUAAUAUAUUGAACCGCAUUGUUCAUUAGUGAACUACGGUUUUGCUGUCCCUUAUAGAUGGAUCCGCGCCGCAUUAGCUAGUUGGUAAGGUAACGGCUUACCAAGGCAACGAUGCGUAGCCGACCUGAGAGGGUGAUCGGCAAAACAGGAACUGAGACACGGUCCAGACUCCUACGGGAGGCAGCAGUAGGGAAGCUUACGAAAUGAGCGAAAGCCUGACGGGGCAAAGCCGCGUGAGUGAUGAAGGUCUUAGGAUCGUAAAACACUGUUAUUAGGGAAGAACAAAGGAGGAAGUAACUAUGCACGGCUUGACGGUACCUAAGCAGAAAGCCACGGCUAACUACAUA
RNAcentral lists this ribosomal RNA (497 nucleotides) under uncultured bacterium. RNAcentral describes it as "partial 16S ribosomal RNA". It matches the Rfam family "Bacterial small subunit ribosomal RNA", at positions 28 to 507 of the family's 1533-position model. The record is from RNAcentral.